This is a long non-coding RNA of Etheostoma cragini (Arkansas darter), 217 nucleotides long. RefSeq lists it as uncharacterized. The record is from RefSeq and is a predicted model, not a curated record. NCBI's taxonomy places the organism in Eukaryota, Metazoa, Chordata, Actinopteri, Perciformes, Percidae. The transcript has 3 exons.
CAUAUUACAAAUCCCACUACGGCCCCGCCCUUCAAAAGCAUUUAUGGGCCAGUUGUCUAUGCUUACGCAAGGUAACAUAAUCCCAUUUGUACAGGUCCUAUCCCCUAACCAAUCGGCUAUCCUAAAGCUUAACCCCAACCAAUCGAGCUACUUCGUGGGGAGGGUCUUGCCGGGGCCAUAGUGGGAUUCAUAAAUUGGCGUCCUGGACGUCAGGGGC